CAUAUUACAUUAAAGAACUAAUUCCCAUACGAUCACUGAAGUUAAGCAAUGUUGAGCCUGGUCAAUACCUAGAUGGGUGACUGCUUAGGGAAUACCAGGUGCUGUAA
Molecule: non-coding RNA, 107 nt
Organism: Acanthosepion pharaonis
Lineage: Eukaryota; Metazoa; Mollusca; Cephalopoda; Sepiida; Sepiidae
Source: the annotation of a GenBank genome assembly